AUGAAAGAGGACCUGAUUUACAGAGUGGGAGAUGGCAGCUCCAUCAACAUUUGGUCGGACCCCUGGCUGAACCGUGAGGGAAUUCGAACCCCCAGAUCACCAAAGGGUAACUGUAUUCUCACCAAAGCUAUCGAGCUGGUAGACCCAACCACCCACGAGUGGGACGAGGAGUUGGUAAAGAGCCUGUUUGUGGAGGAUGAAGCUGAGAUCAUCCUAGCAACACUGGUCCGGGAGGAUUUUGAGGACUUCUAUGCUUGGUUCCAUGACAGCAAGGGCCAAUUUUCGAUGAAGUCAGCCUACAAGCUCUACGUGCUACAGAGAGAUGUUGAUCGACCAGGACCCGCUGAACCAAUAUCGGCGGGUUGGGAGUGGAAGGAGAUCUGGAGCCUACCAUGCCAACCCAAGAUACAACAGUUCUUAUGGCGGCUUCCUCACAAUAGCCUACCUCUGAAACUGAACAUCAAACACCGUGGAAUUGAAUGUGAUACCCUCUGCGUGUGCUGUAGGAGACUGGACGAAGAUGCAGCGCACCUUUUUCUAAGAUGCAAGCUUCUAAGGAAGGUGUGGAGCGAACUACACAGCCAGUCCCGAUGCAGCAGACCUGGAGGGAAACCCAAGGGAGAUUUGCUGAAGAUCAACUGUGAUGGAGCUUUUAAUGCAGCCCGGGGUACUGGUGGCUGGGGCUUCGUUGUCCGUGAUGAGGCGGGAGAUGUCAGAGGCUCAGGGGUGAGGUUCCUGUACCAUGUUGCGACAGUGCUGGGCGCUGAGGCCCGGGCCUAUGUGGCUGCGCUGGAGGCAGCGGUGGACUGGGGAAUGACGCGCAUACAAGUUGAAACGGACAGCCAAGUUCUUGCCAAAGCGAUGAAUGGAAGAGAUUCUGACCUGGCUAUGGAGGGCAUCUUGUUCAGAGAGAUCCGCCAAUUCGCCCGCAUGAACUUUAGUCACAUAUCAUUCUCUUUUGCCCCCAGGGCAUGUAAUACUUUAGCUCAUGCUAUUGCUGCUUUUGGCGCUCGACGCCGUGUUGUGCGAGAGACCUGGGUUGAGGCUCUCCCCGACGAUGUAUCCGUUGGACGGGCCAGCGUUGGUGCUGGAACCGGGUAA
RNAcentral lists this ribosomal RNA (1101 nucleotides) under Triticum aestivum (bread wheat). RNAcentral describes it as "partial small subunit ribosomal RNA". The record is from RNAcentral. Lineage: Eukaryota; Viridiplantae; Streptophyta; Magnoliopsida; Poales; Poaceae.